Molecule: ribosomal RNA, 708 nt
Filed under: uncultured bacterium
Lineage: Bacteria
Description: bacterial SSU rRNA
Rfam family: Bacterial small subunit ribosomal RNA
Source: RNAcentral
ACCGGCGCACGGGUGAGUAACACGUAUCCAACCUGCCGCUUACUCGGGGAUAGCCUUUCGAAAGAAAGAUUAAUACCCGAUGGUAUAAAGAGUUCGCAUGUUCUCUUUAUUAAAGAAUUUCGGUAAGCGAUGGGGAUGCGUUCCAUUAGAUAGUUGGCGGGGUAACGGCCCACCAAGUCUACGAUGGAUAGGGGUUCUGAGAGGAAGGUCCCCCACAUUGGAACUGAGACACGGUCCAAACUCCUACGGGAGGCAGCAGUGAGGAAUAUUGGUCAAUGGGCGAGAGCCUGAACCAGCCAAGUAGCGUGAAGGAUGACUGCCCUAUGGGUUGUAAACUUCUUUUAUAAGGGAAUAAAGUGAGGGACGUGUCCCUUUUUGUAUGUACCUUAUGAAUAAGGAUCGGCUAACUCCGUGCCAGCAGCCGCGGUAAUACGGAGGAUCCAAGCGUUAUCCGGAUUUAUUGGGUUUAAAGGGAGCGUAGGUUGACAUAUAAGUCAGCUGUGAAAGUUUACGGCUCAACCGUGAAAUUGCAGUUGAUACUGUAUGUCUUGAGUGUACAAGAGGUGGGCGGAAUUCGUGGUGUAGCGGUGAAAUGCUUAGAUAUCACGAAGAACUCCAAUUGCGAAGGCAGCUCACUGGGGUACAACUGACACUGAGGCUCGAAAGUGUGGGUAUCAAACAGGAUUAGAUACCCUGGUAGUCCACACA